AAUAAGAGCAUACUUAUAUUCUUAGAAAUUCUGGUUGUUGCACUACAUCAAAGAUUUAUGUGAAAGUGCUAGAAUAUUGCGUUAAAAAAAUUGGAGUGACCAAACUCAUCAUCCCAUUAUAAAACAAAAUGCAAUGAUUAAACCUGUAACAAAAUUUAAAAGAGAGAUUUCCCACAGUUGUGCUGGUUAAUUGACUUGCACCCAAACAUAGCGAUCAUCACUAAGGCACCUUUGAUUAGAUGACCAGACCGCCAUUGCAAACAUGAGAAGCUAGAGAUGAUUAUACAAGAGAUACAGAAAAACACAUAUGACGGUUCACUAGUAUUUGAUUCUAAUUGUUAUAUUUCCAAUUGGUGGAUUCACCACUUAUUUAUAUGAAAUGAGAUCUCGAUAAUUUGAGAUAUGAUACCUCAAGAUAAUGAUCGACAAACCAUAGUAGUUACUCAAACUCAUUUGCAUAUCCUACUACAAAACCUUUAUAUCGGUAAAGGAAACCAUGACAGUACUAAAUCAGAAAGAGUUAAACUAAACAUGUGCUUAAAGAACCCACAUCCAUCCUGGCCGUGAAGAAUAACGAGUGGGGAAUCUCCCCUCUCCUCAAUUAGGAACAUCGAGCCAC
This 619-nucleotide long non-coding RNA is filed under the name Hordeum vulgare. RNAcentral describes it as "long non-coding RNA (HVUL_LNC002296)". The record is from RNAcentral. Lineage: Eukaryota; Viridiplantae; Streptophyta; Magnoliopsida; Poales; Poaceae.